This 1403-nucleotide ribosomal RNA is filed under the name metagenome. RNAcentral describes it as "bacterial SSU rRNA". It matches the Rfam family "Archaeal small subunit ribosomal RNA". The record is from RNAcentral.
UCCGGCUGAUCCUGCCGGAGGCUACCGCUCUUCGAGUUUGACUAAGCCAUGCGAGUUUUGGUUACAUUCUGUGGCCAAAGCAAAUUGCUCAGUAACACGUAGUCAAUCUACCCUUGAGCCUGAUACAAGCCCGGGAAACUGGGGAUAAGAUCAGAUAGUUAAGGACUCCUGGAAUGGGCCUUAACCAAUCAAGGAUGAGACUGCGGCCUAUCAGGCUGUUGAGAGUGUAAAGUACUCUCAAACCUAUAACGGGUACCGGCCUUGGGAGAGGAUGCCGGGAGAUGGGUUCUGAGACAUGAAUCCAGGUCCUACGGGACGCAGCAGGCGCGAAAAUUUCCCAAUGCGCGCAAGCGUGAGGAAGAGACUCGAAGUGCUUUCGUAUAUUUACGGGAGCUUUUCUACAGUUUAAACAGCUGUAGGAAUAAGUGGUGGGUAAUACGGGUGCCAGCCGCCGCGGUAAUACCCGAGCCACGAGUGGUCGCCGCGAUUAUUGGGCUUAAAGCGUUCGUAGUCGGUCCUACAAGUUCUUAGUGAAAUCCUGCAGCAAACUGCAGGGCUUGCUGGGAAUACUGUUGGACUUGAGACCGGGAGAAGUUAAGCGUAUUCCAGGGGUAGUGGUAAAAUACUUUAAUCCUUGGAGGACGACCUGUGGCGAAGGCUCUUAACCAGAACGGAUCUGACGAUGAGGGACGAAAGCUAGGGGAUCAAAGCGGAUUAGAUACCCGCGUAGUCCUAGCUGUAAACGAUACCCACUAGACUUUGGCAACCUCACGUGGGUUGCCAGGGUUAAAGGGAAACCGUUAAGUGGGUCGCCUGGGGAGUACAGUCGCAAGGCUGAAACUUAAGGGAAUUGGCGGGGGAGCACACAAGGGGUGAAGGCUGCGGUUUAAUUGGAUUCAACGCCGGAAAUCUUACCAGUGGCGACAGCAGAAUGAAGGUCCGUUUGAUGAGCGUACCAGACACGCUGAGCGGUGGUGCAUGGCCGUCGUCAGUUCGUGCCGCGAGGUGUCCUGUUAAGUCAGGCAACGAACGAGAUCCACACCUCAUGUUGCUAUCAGUUUCGACUGAGCACUCAUGAGGGACAGCUACUGAUGAAGUAGAGGAAGGAGUGGGCGACGGCAGGUCUGUAUGCCCCUAAUCCACUGGGCUACACGCGGCCUGCAAUGGCCGGUACAAUGGGCUGCGACCCUGAAAGGGGGAGCUAAUCCCGAAAGCCGGUCUCAGUUCGGAUCGAGGGUUGUAACUCACCCUCGUGAAGCCGGAAUCCCUAGUAGUCGAAAGUCACUAUCUUUCGACGAAUACGUUCCUGCUCCUUGCACACACUGCCCGUCAAGCCAACCGAGUGGGAUUUUGGCGAGCUUCCGGUUUUUGCCGGGAUCGAGCCACGGUUCUGCAAGGUGGGC